RNAcentral lists this ribosomal RNA (253 nucleotides) under uncultured bacterium. Its description in RNAcentral is "partial 16S ribosomal RNA". It matches the Rfam family "Bacterial small subunit ribosomal RNA", at positions 524 to 776 of the family's 1533-position model. The record is from RNAcentral.
UACGUAGGGUGCGAGCGUUGUCCGGAAUUAUUGGGCGUAAAGAGCUCGUAGGCGGCCUGUCGCGUCGGAUGUGAAAGCCCAGGGCUUAACCCCGGGUCUGCAUUCGAUACGGGCAGGCUAGAGAGUGGUAGGGGAGAUCGGAAUUCCUGGUGUAGCGGUGAAAUGCGCAGAUAUCAGGAGGAACACCGGUGGCGAAGGCGGAUCUCUGGGCCAUUACUGACGCUGAGGAGCGAAAGCGUGGGGAGCGAACAGG